RNAcentral lists this ribosomal RNA (206 nucleotides) under uncultured bacterium. RNAcentral describes it as "partial 16S ribosomal RNA". It matches the Rfam family "Bacterial small subunit ribosomal RNA", at positions 568 to 774 of the family's 1533-position model. The record is from RNAcentral.
CGCGCAGGUGGUUUCUUAAGCCUGAUGUGAAAGCCCACGGCUCAACCGUGGAGGGUCAUUGGAAACUGGGAGACUUGAGUGCAGAAGAGGAUAGUGGAAUUCCAAGUGUAGCGGUGAAAUGCGUAGAGAUUUGGAGGAACACCAGUGGCGAAGGCGACUGUCUGGUCUGUAACUGACACUGAGGCUCGAAAGCGUGGGAGCAAACA